CAGCCGUAAACUAUGCGCGUUAGGUGUAUCGGUGACCACGAGUUACCGAGGUGCCGAAGGGAAACCGUGAAACGUGCCGCCUGGGAAGUACGGUCGCAAGGCUGAAACUUAAAGGAAUUGGCGGGGGAGCACCACAACAGGUGGAGCCUGCGGUUUAAUUGGAUUCAACGCCGAAAACUCACCAGCAGCGACUGUUACAUGAAAGUCAGGUUGAUGACCUUACUAGAUUUUCAGAGAGGUGGUGCAUGGCGUCAGUGACU
This 260-nucleotide ribosomal RNA is filed under the name uncultured archaeon. Its description in RNAcentral is "partial 16S ribosomal RNA". It matches the Rfam family "Archaeal small subunit ribosomal RNA", at positions 748 to 1008 of the family's 1478-position model. The record is from RNAcentral.